RNAcentral lists this long non-coding RNA (994 nucleotides) under Elaeis guineensis (African oil palm). RNAcentral describes it as "long non-coding RNA (EGUI_LNC079241)". Lineage: Eukaryota; Viridiplantae; Streptophyta; Magnoliopsida; Arecales; Arecaceae. The record is from RNAcentral.
GCGUGAUCUAAAGAUAGAUUCAUGUGAAGAAAGAUGAAUCCUUCUUUAUAUGGAAGAAAAAGCUCCGAUCCAUAAAUAACACUGACUGUCUUAUGUCUAGUUGAUAUUAUCUUACAUCCGAUGUACCAGCUUAAUAGUACACCAAGCCAAUUCACUGCCGCCACAUGGACAUUCUGGUUGUCUCAUUGUGAGGAACAAAAGAAGGCCAAGCAUUCUAUCUCUUCCUCUCACAAGAGGAGAAUGAAAUUUGUUGCGACCUUUCUUUGGUAGGUAGUCGGUAGUCGGUCUGAAGCCAACUAAGGACUAUGCUAUGAGUAGGCAGCAGAAUCGUCAGAAGAUAAUGUGCCGUCACCAAAAAGGAUACACCAGUCAAGGCUGAGACCAAAGGCGAUGAUGUGGAUGAAAGAGAGAUGGUGUCGGGAACCACUCAGCAUCGGAGAAAAAAAUCUACAAAACAAGUUCUGCCAGAGGUGGCUCCGAUAAGGAUCCUCCGAUAUUUAAGUCAGUGUGAUGGUUCGAGAGAAAAGAGUGACAGUGUCUGAAUCGCAAAAAUAGUAUGUGCAUGCCCCCCUUACUUGGAGAGAUCCCAACUUACCUCUAUUUAUAGAGGAAACAAAAUGAAUGGUGAGAGGACAGCUGAUCAUGUCAAUCAUAUCCUAUUAUAUGGUGCCGUAUGAUGCCGUGCAGAUGUCUUUAAAUGCUGACGGUGAGCGUGCCUUCCACUCGGUGCGCUUAUAAUGGAAGACACUAUCGGGUGUGGGGUAUAAUUAAUGACCCUAUAGGUGCAUUUAAUGAAAUCAUAAUAUCCCAUCAUGGUGUGCAGCUAUCUUACCAGAGUAUGGUGUCUGAGUGAUAUGACCUUGAUGUGGCCUGUCAUGAUCGUAUGAUGGUUAUAUAUUCAGUGCUCAGCUAGUCAGUUGAGACCCAUGUUGUCAGAGUCGGCAGAAUGGGACCGUUGAGUUGCCUUGUCCUCGAUAGUUCAUACUCGGCUGCU